GACGAACGCUGGCGGCGUGCCUAAUACAUGCAAGUCGAACGAAGCUUUUUUAACUGGUGCUUGCACCGACUUAAACAACUGAGUGGCGAACGGGUGAGUAACACGUGGGUAACCUGCCCCAAAGCGGGGGAUAACAUUUGGAAACAGAUGCUAAUACCGCAUAACCACAGAAACCACAUGGUUUCUGUGUCAAAGAUGGUUUCGGCUAUCACUUUUGGAUGGACCCGCGGCGUAUUAGCUAGUUGGUAAGGUAAUGGCUUACCAAGGCAAUGAUACGUAGCCGAACUGAGAGGUUGAUCGGCCACAUUGGGACUGAGACACGGCCCAAACUCCUACGGGAAGCAGCAGUAGGGAAUCUUCCACAAUGGACGAAAGUCUGAUGGAGCAACGCCGCGUGAGUGAAGAAGGUUUUCGGAUCGUAAAACUCUGUUGUCAGAGAAGAACGUGUGCGAGAGUAACUGUUCGUGCAGUGACGGUAUCUGGCCAGAAAGCCACGGCUAACUACGUGCCAGCCGCCGCGGUAA
Molecule: ribosomal RNA, 524 nt
Filed under: uncultured bacterium
Lineage: Bacteria
Description: partial 16S ribosomal RNA
Rfam family: Bacterial small subunit ribosomal RNA
Source: RNAcentral